RNAcentral lists this signal recognition particle RNA (301 nucleotides) under Cervus hanglu yarkandensis (Yarkand deer). RNAcentral's name for it is "Metazoan signal recognition particle RNA (ENSCHYG00000021441.1)". It matches the Rfam family "Metazoan signal recognition particle RNA". Rfam says of the family: The signal recognition particle (SRP) is a universally conserved ribonucleoprotein. Lineage: Eukaryota; Metazoa; Chordata; Mammalia; Artiodactyla; Cervidae. The record is from RNAcentral.
GCCGGGCGCGGUGGCGCGCGCCUGUAAUCCCAGCUACUCGGGAGGCUGAGGCUGGAGGAUCGCUUGAGCUCAGGAGUUCUGGGCUGCAGUGCGCUAUGCCGAUCGGGUGUCCGCACUAAGUUCGGCAUCAAUAUGGUGACCUCCCGGGAGCGGGGGACCACCAGGUUGCCUAAGGAGGGGUGAACCGGCCCAGGUCGGAAACGGAGCAGGUCAAAAACUCCCGUGCUGAUCAGUAGUGGGAUCGCGCCUGUGAAUAGCCACUGUACUCCAGCCUGAGACAAAAAAAAAAAAAAAAAGUUAU